RNAcentral lists this ribosomal RNA (253 nucleotides) under uncultured bacterium. RNAcentral describes it as "partial 16S ribosomal RNA". It matches the Rfam family "Bacterial small subunit ribosomal RNA", at positions 524 to 776 of the family's 1533-position model. The record is from RNAcentral.
UACGUAGGGUGCGAGCGUUGUCCGGAAUUAUUGGGCGUAAAGAGCUUGUAGGCGGUUUGUCGCGUCUGCCGUGAAAAUUCGAGGCUCAACCUCGAACUUGCGGUGGGUACGGGCAGACUAGAGUGUGGUAGGGGAGACUGGAAUUCCUGGUGUAGCGGUGAAAUGCGCAGAUAUCAGGAGGAACACCGAUGGCGAAGGCAGCUUGCUGGGACGGUACUGACGCUGAGAAGCGAAAGCGUGGGGAGCAAACAGG